Molecule: long non-coding RNA, 1001 nt
Filed under: Vulpes vulpes (red fox)
Lineage: Eukaryota; Metazoa; Chordata; Mammalia; Carnivora; Canidae
Description: lncRNA (ENSVVUG00000030231.1)
Source: RNAcentral
AGGAGCUGCCUUCUUAGUGGGAAGAGUCCCUGUGUGCUUUCCCAGUGUCCACAUUGGCUGUGUCUCACAAAGAUGCCAAGAGGCGAUGUGACAUCCAAAGGGAGAGCAGUGUGGCUUCCUGACCUGAAGAUGUGGGGACUGGUGCAGGAAGGCAGAGAAGCCUGGAGAGGGAAGGGAAACUAAAGCUCAGAGAAGGAACUUUCCUAAAGUCCACAGGAGUAUCACAUCUACACUCAGGUCCCCUGACUUCCAAAUCUGGAUUAUUACAAAGAAAUCCCAGAAUGGAAUUGUGAAGGGAUGUGUCUGCAGCUGGUGAGGAAGCCCAGGCACACAGAAUCCUGCAGACCUCCCCAGCCCCUCCGCAUCCACAGAGAGCACUCAGCCUAUCUUGAUCAACAGUCGGCAGCAACACAUUGCAGAUAUAAUCUCAAGACCUUGUGGCAUGUACUUGUCACUACAUGCAUAACUUACUAUGGACAGAGGAUCACGGAGAUUUUGAACAUAAUUUCCCACACGACAGGAGAUUAAAUAGACCACAUUGGAAGAAGGCAAGAAGAAGCUAGGUCUCUGGAGUACCAAAAAGUAAACUUCAGCCAGUUCUGGAAGCAUAUAAACAGCAGGAAAUAUACUUGCCGAUGGGCUACUUUCUCAAGAGUUCCUGCUUUCUAGAACUCUGGGGAAAGAAUGAGUUAGUGGGUAAGAAUGUAAGAGGAAAAAGGACCUUCCCUGGAAAGAUUUGGGGUGGAAGAAAAUCUGUGUCUCCUCAUUCAUGUAUGACUUUCUCCUCUCCCUUUGUGAUGCUCCUUUCUUGAAGAAUCUGCUCCCCCAGGUUCACUCCAUCAGAACCUACUCCUGAGACUGCAUUCCUGGCACCUAUAGUGAGGUGUUAAGUCAAUGUCCUACCUUUCAGUAUGUAAAUAUCAAGCUUUCUAUGUUUUUUUUUUUUCCAGUGAAGAAUUACUGGCUACCAACAAAUAAAUAAGAGAAGGCAUUAGGGUCCA